Long non-coding RNA from Trichoplusia ni (cabbage looper), 157 nucleotides. RefSeq lists it as uncharacterized. The record is from RefSeq and is a predicted model, not a curated record. The transcript is spliced from 2 exons. NCBI's taxonomy places the organism in Eukaryota, Metazoa, Arthropoda, Insecta, Lepidoptera, Noctuidae.
AAAUACUCUCGCACUCAUUGCUAUUUUGGAUGUGAAGAAGGAGGUACAUUACAUCAUUUUCCUAAGCCAGACUGUUAUAAUGAAAGGUUUGAGAUCUGGAAACAAGUUUUAGACGAUGAUAUUAUAAUGAAAGGAGAUACAUACAUCUACAACCAAA